CAGCACCUCAAGUGGUCAGGAUGAUUAUUGGGCCUAAAGCAUCCGUAGCCGGCUCUGUAAGUUUUCGGUUAAAUCUGUACGCUCAACGUACAGGCUGCCGGGAAUACUGCAGAGCUAGGGAGUGGGAGAGGUAGACGGUACUCGAUAGGAAGGGGUAAAAUCCUUUGAUCUAUUGAUGACCACCUGUGGCGAAGGCGGUCUACCAGAACACGUCCGACGGUGAGGGAUGAAAGCUGGGGGAGCAAACCGGAUUAGAUACCCGAGUAGUCC
Molecule: ribosomal RNA, 270 nt
Filed under: uncultured archaeon
Lineage: Archaea
Description: partial 16S ribosomal RNA
Rfam family: Archaeal small subunit ribosomal RNA
Source: RNAcentral